UUAACACAUGCAAGUCGAACGUGAUUUUUAAGGAAAGCCCUUCGGGGUGGGAAUUAAAAUGAAAGUGGCGAACGGGUGAGUAACACGUGAGCAACCUACCUUACACAGGGGGAUAGCCGUUGGAAACGACGAUUAAUACCGUAUGAGACCACAGAAUCGCAUGAUAUAGGGGUCAAAGAUUUAUCGGUGUAAGAAGGGCUCGCGUCUGAUUAGCUAGUUGGAAGGGUAAAGGCCUACCAAGGCGACGAUCAGUAGCCGGUCUGAGAGGAUGAACGACCACAUUGGAACUGAGACACGGUCCAAACUCCUACGGGAGGCAGCAGUGGGGAAUAUUGCACAAUGGGGGGAACCCUGAUGCAGCGACGCCGCGUGAGCGAAGAAGGUUUUCGAAUCGUAGAGCUCUGUCCUAUGAGAAGAUAAUGACGGUAUCAUAGGAGGAAGCCCCGGCUAAAUACGUGCCAGCAGCCGCGGUAAUACGUAUGGGGCGAGCGUUGUCCGGAAUUAUUGGGCGUAAAGGGUACGUAGGCGGUUUUUUAAGUCAGGUGUGAAAGCGUGAGGCU
This 560-nucleotide ribosomal RNA is filed under the name uncultured Clostridium sp. Its description in RNAcentral is "bacterial SSU rRNA". It matches the Rfam family "Bacterial small subunit ribosomal RNA", at positions 48 to 609 of the family's 1533-position model. Lineage: Bacteria; Bacillati; Bacillota; Clostridia; Eubacteriales; Clostridiaceae. The record is from RNAcentral.